GCCCUCGUAGUUCAAUGGAUAGAACGAGAAACUUCUAAUUUCUAGAUCUAGGUCCGAUUCCUAGCGAGGGCACCA
Molecule: transfer RNA, 75 nt
Filed under: Candidatus Zambryskibacteria bacterium RIFCSPLOWO2_02_FULL_38_13
Lineage: Bacteria; Candidatus Zambryskiibacteriota
Also listed under: 1 other name
Description: tRNA-Arg
Rfam family: tRNA
About the family: Transfer RNA (tRNA) molecules are approximately 80 nucleotides in length. Their secondary structure includes four short double-helical elements and three loops (D, anti-codon, and T loops). Further hydrogen bonds mediate the characteristic L-shaped molecular structure. tRNAs have two regions of fundamental functional importance: the anti-codon, which is responsible for specific mRNA codon recognition, and the 3' end, to which the tRNAs corresponding amino acid is attached (by aminoacyl-tRNA synthetases). tRNAs cope with the degeneracy of the genetic code in two manners: having more than one tRNA (with a specific anti-codon) for a particular amino acid; and 'wobble' base-pairing, i.e. permitting non-standard base-pairing at the 3rd anti-codon position.
Source: RNAcentral